RNAcentral lists this transfer RNA (74 nucleotides) under Flavobacterium pectinovorum. Its description in RNAcentral is "tRNA-Ser". It matches the Rfam family "tRNA". From Rfam's summary of the family: Transfer RNA (tRNA) molecules are approximately 80 nucleotides in length. Their secondary structure includes four short double-helical elements and three loops (D, anti-codon, and T loops). Further hydrogen bonds mediate the characteristic L-shaped molecular structure. tRNAs have two regions of fundamental functional importance: the anti-codon, which is responsible for specific mRNA codon recognition, and the 3' end, to which the tRNAs corresponding amino acid is attached (by aminoacyl-tRNA synthetases). tRNAs cope with the degeneracy of the genetic code in two manners: having more than one tRNA (with a specific anti-codon) for a particular amino acid; and 'wobble' base-pairing, i.e. permitting non-standard base-pairing at the 3rd anti-codon position. RNAcentral also lists the same sequence under 1 other name. The record is from RNAcentral. Lineage: Bacteria; Pseudomonadati; Bacteroidota; Flavobacteriia; Flavobacteriales; Flavobacteriaceae.
AGGGCGUUAGCUCAAUUGGAAGAGCAGCAGUUUGCUAAACUGACGGAUGCAGGUUCGAGUCCUUGCACGCCUUU